CCUACGGGAGGCUGCAGUGAGGAAUAUUGGUCAAUGGGCGCGAGCCUGAACCAGCCAAGUAGCGUGAAGGCUGACUGCCCUACGGGUUGUACACUUCUUUUCUCCCUUCAUACAUUGAGUCACGUGUGCCUUUUUGUAUUUACUUUAUGAAUAAGGAUCUGCUAACUCCGUGCCAGCAGCAGCGGUAAUACGGAGGAUCCGAGCGUUAUCCGGAUUUAUUUGGUGUAAAGGGAGCGUAGAUGGGUUGUUAAGUCAGUUGUGAAAGUUUGCGGAUCAAACGUAACAUUGCAAGUGAUACUGGCAGUCUUGAGUACAGUUGAGGUAGGCGGAAUUCGUGGUGUAGCGGUGAAAUGCUUAGAGAUCACGAAGAACUCCGAUUGCGAAGGCAGCUUACUAAACUGCCACUGACAUUGAUGCUCGAAAGUGUGGGUAUCAAACAGGAUUAGAGAAAAGGGUAGUC
RNAcentral lists this ribosomal RNA (460 nucleotides) under uncultured bacterium. Its description in RNAcentral is "partial 16S ribosomal RNA". It matches the Rfam family "Bacterial small subunit ribosomal RNA", at positions 338 to 795 of the family's 1533-position model. The record is from RNAcentral.